RNAcentral lists this ribosomal RNA (207 nucleotides) under uncultured bacterium. RNAcentral's name for it is "partial 16S ribosomal RNA". It matches the Rfam family "Bacterial small subunit ribosomal RNA", at positions 568 to 774 of the family's 1533-position model. The record is from RNAcentral.
UGUGUAGGCGGUUCUCUAAGUUCCGUGUGAAAUCUCCCGGCUUAACUGGGAGGGUGCGCGGGAAACUGGAGGGCUGGAGUAUGGGAGAGGAAAGCGGAAUUCCUGGUGUAGCGGUGAAAUGCGUAGAUAUCAGGAGGAACACCUGCGGUGUAGACAGCUUUCUGGACCAUCACUGACGCUGAGACACGAAAGCGUGGGUAGCAAACA